AUUCAAAUGAACAUACAUUGCCCCUGCAAUGUGGGUGUGGCAAAAACAUGCAAGAUUCUUCAAAUAUACAAUGUUACUGCUGUUUUAAAUCCGGCGUCUCCUGAGCUUGAAUAUCCGGCGUCUCCUGAGCUACUUGUGUCUUAGCCUGAUAAACCUGCUUCACCUGCUUCUCAUUUGGACCUAUCGAUGUUGCUUCUUGUUUGAAGUACAUUCCAGUGUUUCCUGCAGCUGUUUUGUUG
Molecule: long non-coding RNA, 239 nt
Filed under: Populus tremula
Lineage: Eukaryota; Viridiplantae; Streptophyta; Magnoliopsida; Malpighiales; Salicaceae
Description: long non-coding RNA (PTRE_LNC000853)
Source: RNAcentral